RNAcentral lists this unclassified non-coding RNA (271 nucleotides) under plant metagenome. RNAcentral describes it as "partial contains small subunit ribosomal RNA, internal transcribed spacer 1, and 5.8S ribosomal RNA". The record is from RNAcentral.
UUUCCGUAGGUGAACCUGCGGAAGGAUCAUUAAUGAGUUGUCAUGGGGUUCGAUGCUGGCAGCCAGUUUUUGGAUGCAUGUGCUUGCCCUAACAAUCAUCUUCUUCCAACACCUGUGCACAUUUUUGAGGGAGUCUUGAGUUGGUUGCCGCUCUUGGGUGAUUUUCUCACAUUCCCUUAAAUCAUUAUACGCUAUUAACAAUGUUGAACGUGCUCUGUGCCGCAAGGCCAUUAAUAUAAUACAACUUUUAACAACGGAUCUCUUGGCUCUC